UGGGGAAUAUUGGACAAUGGGCGAAAGCCUGAUCCAGCCAUGCCGCGUGUGUGAAGAAGGCCUUAUGGUUGUAAAGCACUUUAAGCGAGGAGGAGGGUACUGGUAUUAAUACUACCAGGUACUGGACAUUACUCGCAGAAUAAGCACCGGCUAACUCUGUGCCAGCAGCCGCGGUAAUACAGAGGGUGCGAGCGUUAAUCGGAUUUACUGGGCGUAAAGCGUGCGUAGGCGGCUAAUUGAGUCGGAUGUGAAAUCCCCGAGCUUAACUUGGGAAUUGCAUUCGAUACUGGUUAGCUAGAGUGUGGGAGAGGAUGGUAGAAUUCCAGGUGUAGCGGUGAAAUGCGUAGAGAUCUGGAGGAAUACCGAUGGCGAAGGCAGCCAUCUGGCCUAACACUGACGCUGAGGUACGAAAGCAUGGGGAGCAAACAGG
Molecule: ribosomal RNA, 430 nt
Filed under: Pseudomonadota bacterium
Lineage: Bacteria; Pseudomonadati; Pseudomonadota
Description: Proteobacteria bacterium partial 16S ribosomal RNA
Rfam family: Bacterial small subunit ribosomal RNA
Source: RNAcentral